This 530-nucleotide ribosomal RNA is filed under the name Oedecnema gebleri. RNAcentral describes it as "partial 16S ribosomal RNA". Lineage: Eukaryota; Metazoa; Arthropoda; Insecta; Coleoptera; Cerambycidae. The record is from RNAcentral.
UCGCCUGUUUUAACAAAAACAUGUCUUUUUGAAAAUAAUUUAAAGUCUAACCUGCCCACUGAGUUAUUAAAUGGCCGCGGUAUUUUGACCGUGCAAAGGUAGCAUAAUCAUUAGUUUUUUAAUUGAAAGCUGGUAUGAAGGGUUGGAUGAGAAAAUAACUGUCUCUAUUUAAUUUAUAUUAGAAUUUUAUUUUUAAGUUAAAAAGCUUAAAUUUUAUUAAAAGACGAGAAGACCCUAUAGAGUUUUAUAUAAUUAUUUUAUUAAAAAUUUUUAGUAUUUUAAUUUUUAGUUUUUAUAUUAUAUUUAAUUGGGGUGAUUGAAAAAUUGAUAAAACUUUUUUUAUAUAAAAUCAUUUAUUUAUGAAUAUAUGAUCCAUUAGUUGUGAUUAUAAGACAAAAUUACCUUAGGGAUAACAGCGUAAUUUUUUUAGAGAGUUCAAAUCGAAAAAAAAGAUUGCGACCUCGAUGUUGGAUUAAAAUUUAUUUUUGGUGUAGAAGCUAAAAUAUUAGGUCUGUUCCGACCCUUUUUUU